CAACCCUUAAGCCUAGCUUAGCGUUGGGAGACUGCACUAAACCGCAGCUCCUCAAAACCAGUGGCGGAGUCUGUUCGUACUCUGAGCGCAGUAAUUUAUUAUCUCGCUUCUGCAAGUACGGCUGACGACAGCCAUAAACCGCACCCUUCGGGGGCACUUUUUAAU
RNAcentral lists this unclassified non-coding RNA (165 nucleotides) under uncultured Xylariales. Its description in RNAcentral is "sequence contains ITS2". Lineage: Eukaryota; Fungi; Ascomycota; Sordariomycetes; Xylariales. The record is from RNAcentral.